RNAcentral lists this long non-coding RNA (328 nucleotides) under Homo sapiens (human). RNAcentral's name for it is "non-protein coding lnc-SLC23A1-2:1". It matches the Rfam family "7SK RNA", at positions 50 to 331 of the family's 331-position model. Rfam says of the family: 7SK was discovered as an abundant small nuclear RNA in the mid-70s but a possible function has only recently been suggested. Two independent studies have found that 7SK RNA binds the CDK9/cyclin T complex (known as elongation factor P-TEFb). P-TEFb activates transcription by phosphorylating the C-terminal domain of RNA polymerase II. The record is from RNAcentral. Lineage: Eukaryota; Metazoa; Chordata; Mammalia; Primates; Hominidae.
AGAUUGAGGUCAAGAGUUAGAGACCAGCCUGGCCAACGUGGUGAAACCCUCUCUACUAAAAAUACAAAAAUUGAUUUGGCUGAUCUGGCUGGCUAAACCGGUGUCCCCUUACUCCCUCAAUGCUCCAAGUGUGUCCCUCCCGACCCUCCCGAAGCUGUGCAGUGUGUCGAAGAGGACAACCAUCACCAAUAGAGGACCGGUCUUCCUUUAAGGGUAUAUGUGUAGCUGGGUUUCCAUUAAAACCUCCAAUCUCUCAAAAAUGCAAAUUAUCAGUACUCAUCCCAAACUUAGGAAAUUAGAAAACCUGGCAGGGAGCCAGCAAUGCUUU